Molecule: long non-coding RNA, 411 nt
Filed under: Homo sapiens (human)
Lineage: Eukaryota; Metazoa; Chordata; Mammalia; Primates; Hominidae
Description: non-protein coding lnc-EMX2-5:4
Source: RNAcentral
GCAUUAAACUGAGAAGAACCACUGAGGAAAGCAUGCCACAGUCUUUCCCAAAAUCCCUGUGUCUUAAGGAACAACCAAGAAGUUAACUGGUCAGGGAAAAGAUUUCUUUUGGAACACAGAAGCCAUCGCUGUGUGCGGAAAUCCAUGACCUGGCCAUGACUUCUACAACCCGGAGGACUUGCCUGGCAUUACCGAAAAGCACAGGGGAAAGAUUCUGUGGCAGGUGCCGCAUUUCAUCCAGCUCACUCCGUGCUAGUUCCUAAGACAUCUUAAUUCUUACACAUAUGCAUAAUCGUGAUAUUUUGCCAUGAAUAACAAUAUAUUUCACAAUUAUCAACCAUUUUAAUUUUUAGCUUUCUAACCUCGGACUACUAUAAUAAAAAGAAAUAAUAAAUCCAAAAGUAGUAGUGG